AACGAACGCUGGCGGCAUGCCUAACACAUGCAAGUCGAACGAGACCUUCGGGUCUAGUGGCGCACGGGUGCGUAACGCGUGGGAACCUGCCCUUAGGUUCGGAAUAACUCCCCGAAAGGGGUGCUAAUACCGGAUAAUGUCUUCGGACCAAAGAUUUAUCGCCUUUGGAUGGGCCCGCGUUGGAUUAGCUAGUUGGUAGGGUAAAAGCCUACCAAGGCGACGAUCCAUAGCUGGUCUGAGCGGAUGAUCAGCCACACUGGGACUGAGACACGGCCCAGACUCCUACGGGAGGCAGCAGUGGGGAAUAUUGGACAAUGGGCGAAAGCCUGAGCCAGCAAUGCCGCGUGAGUGAUGAAGACCUUAAGGUUGUAAAGCUCUUUUACCCGGGAUGAUAAUGACAGUACCGGGAGAAUAAGCUCCGGCUAACUCCGUG
This 433-nucleotide ribosomal RNA is filed under the name uncultured bacterium. RNAcentral describes it as "partial 16S ribosomal RNA". It matches the Rfam family "Bacterial small subunit ribosomal RNA", at positions 29 to 507 of the family's 1533-position model. The record is from RNAcentral.